UACGUAGGGGGCAAGCGUUAUCCGGAUUUACUGGGUGUAAAGGGAGUGUAGACGGCAGCGCAAGUCUGGAGUGAAAUGCCGGGGCCCAACCCCGGAACUGCUUUGGAAACUGUGCAGCUCGAGUGCAGGAGAGGUAAGCGGAAUUCCUAGUGUAGCGGUGAAAUGCGUAGAUAUUAGGAGGAACACCAGUGGCGAAGGCGGCUUACUGGACUGUAACUGACGUUGAGGCUCGAAAGCGUGGGGAGCAAACAGG
Molecule: ribosomal RNA, 253 nt
Filed under: uncultured bacterium
Lineage: Bacteria
Description: partial 16S ribosomal RNA
Rfam family: Bacterial small subunit ribosomal RNA
Source: RNAcentral